CAAAUCCUGCAGGGUUUUAAAGCUUGGGAUUGGUUUCGGUCCAACGGAUCAAUUUUUCAGGAGACGUAAUGCUCCUUCGGCCGUUACUGUAACGUUUACGCUACCGACGGUGGAUCCUGCCCAGCAACAGUUCCAUCCGAAACAUGAAAUCGGCGUUCCGAAGCGCUCUUAUGGACCUUACCCUAUAAUUCUAAAUUAUAACUGUUCCUAAAACCCAGAGGUCACAUUAACAUGAAAUCCACUUGUCGGAACGCUCUUAUAGUCCUUUCACACUCCUUAAACCCUAAUUGUAAUCUUAAAUCUUCCUUUUCUCUUCUCCAAGUUCGACGGAUCAGUGCCAUUAGAGUUCCUCUCUCAUAUCCUUCGUGUUUCAGAAACGUAUACGUUCGGUUGAUGUGUUCAAAUUCUUCAUCCUCUACAAUGGCGGACAUUGGAGCUUAUUCAUCUUCCUCCUCUUCCGUGGAGAACCAAUUUGACAAUUUCCGUCUUCAGCUUGAAGAAUCUGGAAGAUUACGGGAGCGCAUUAGAGCGGUUUCGUUGGAGAUGGAGACCUCGACCCGGCUAAUGCAAUCGAGCCUCCUCCUUGUUCAUCAAUCUCGGCCUGUCCCAGAGGUCUUAGAGAAGGCAAAGGUCCAGAUUGAUGUUCUGAAAGAACUCUUCCAUCGGCUUGCUGAAAUCCUCCAGGAAUGCCCUGGGCAGUAUUAUAGAUAUCAUGGUGAUUGGAGGAGCGAGACACAGACGGCCGUCUCACUGCUUGCAUUUAUGCAUUGGCUAGAAACAGGAAAUCUUCUUAUGCAUAAAGAAGCUGAAGAGAAACUUGGAUUGGAUUCUUCUGAGUUUGGUCUUGAUAUUGAAGAUUAUCUUAUUGGAGUCUGUUUCAUGUCAAAUGAAUUGCAAAUUGUGCAAACUGCUGCGAUGCAUAUUGUGCAAACUGUUCCUUUCCAGCAGAUUGACCCUAAUAUGAAAAUGAUGGGAUCUUGCAGCCACGUUAUGUGGUGAACCGAGUGACAGCAGGGGACUAUGAUUGCCCAAGAAAGGUGUUGAAGUUCUUGACAGAUCUGCAUGCUGCUUUCCGGAUGCUUAAUCUCCGAAAUGAUUUCUUGCGGAAGAAGUUUGAUGGUAUGAAGUAUGACCUAAGAAGAGUUGAAGAAGUUUAUUAUGAUGUUAAGAUCCGAGGCUUGAUAACUAGUGGGGACUCCUCAGGAGACCAAGGAAUGCAGACAUAGGUUCGAGGCCGGAAUUCAGUCUACUAGUUGCUUCUCUCUAUGUUCUCUCUAAAUUGACACAUAACAUGAACUUUUUCUUCACAAUACCAUUGAAUUUUUUUCUGAGUUCGAGUAAGGAAACAACCUCUUUGCAAA
Molecule: RNA transcript, 1361 nt
Organism: Macadamia integrifolia
Lineage: Eukaryota; Viridiplantae; Streptophyta; Magnoliopsida; Proteales; Proteaceae
Gene name: translin
Exons: 7
Source: RefSeq, a predicted model, not a curated record